AGUAGUUUGAUCAGUCGGCGUCAGGACGAACGCUGGCGGCGUGCUUAACACAUGCAAGUCGAACGAUGAAAGCGGGAGCUUGCUCCUGCUGGAUUAGUGGCGAACGGGUGAGUAACACGUGAGUAACCUGCCCUUGACUCUGGGAUAAGCGUUGGAAACGACGUCUAAUACCGGAUACGACCUUCGGAGGCAUCUCCUGGGGGUGGAAAGAAUUUCGGUCAAGGAUGGACUCGCGGCCUAUCAGCUAGUUGGUGAGGUAAUGGCUCACCAAGGCGACGACGGGUAGCCGGCCUGAGAGGGUGACCGGCCACACUGGGACUGAGACACGGCCCAGACUCCUACGGGAGGCAGCAGUGGGGAAUAUUGCACAAUGGGCGCAAGCCUGAUGCAGCAACGCCGCGUGAGGGACGACGGCCUUCGGGUUGUAAACCUCUUUUAGUAGGGAAGAAGCGAAAGUGACGGUACCUGCAGAAAAAGCACCGGCUAACUACGUG
RNAcentral lists this ribosomal RNA (494 nucleotides) under uncultured bacterium. RNAcentral describes it as "bacterial SSU rRNA". It matches the Rfam family "Bacterial small subunit ribosomal RNA", at positions 1 to 507 of the family's 1533-position model. The record is from RNAcentral.